CCGAGAAUGUUACAGUAGUUCUAUCCAGCAGCAAUUCGACGAGAAACGCAGGGGAUAUUCUGCCAUCAGGAAGACUAACUAUGGAUGCGCACGAAGCAAUAGUAGUAAAACCACAAUAAAAUAUUAAGGUAUUAUGGAAUAUUUACACUAUUCUGUUAAUAAUGAUAUGUCUAUUUCGAAUUUUCCAAUAAUAAACUAAUUAACAUUUUAA
Molecule: long non-coding RNA, 211 nt
Organism: Agrilus planipennis (emerald ash borer)
Lineage: Eukaryota; Metazoa; Arthropoda; Insecta; Coleoptera; Buprestidae
Exons: 2
Source: RefSeq, a predicted model, not a curated record